CGGCGGACGGGUGAGUAACGCGUGGGUAACCUACCCUGUACACACGGAUAACAUACCGAAAGGUAUGCCAAUACGGGAUAAUAUAUUUGAGAGGCAUCUCUUGAAUAUCAAAGGUGAGCCAGUACAGGAUGGACCCGCGUCUGAUUAGCUAGUUGGUAAGGUAACGGCUUACCAAGGCGACGAUCAGUAGCCGACCUGAGAGGGUGAUCGGCCACAUUGGAACUGAGACACGGUCCAA
Molecule: ribosomal RNA, 238 nt
Filed under: uncultured bacterium
Lineage: Bacteria
Description: partial 16S ribosomal RNA
Rfam family: Bacterial small subunit ribosomal RNA
Source: RNAcentral